UACAGAGGGGGCGAGCGUUGUUCGGAAUUACUGGGCGUAAAGGGCGCGUAGGCGGCCCGCUAAGUCGAACGUGAAAUCCCUGGGCUCAACCCAGGAACUGCGUCCGAUACUGGUUGGCUUGAAUCCGGGAGAGGGAUGUGGAAUUCCAGGUGUAGCGGUGAAAUGCGUAGAUAUCUGGAGGAACACCGGUGGCGAAGGCGACAUCCUGGACCGGUAUUGACGCUGAGGCGCGAAAGCCAGGGGAGCAAACGGG
This 253-nucleotide ribosomal RNA is filed under the name uncultured bacterium. Its description in RNAcentral is "partial 16S ribosomal RNA". It matches the Rfam family "Bacterial small subunit ribosomal RNA", at positions 524 to 776 of the family's 1533-position model. The record is from RNAcentral.